UUUUUCUGAUUUGUGGAAGAGGCUGAAAAUCUUGGUAGAGCGUGUGUUGUCAUCAGCUUUGUCUCUUGUUCCUAUGAGAUGGGAGUUAAAUAAUGACACAAAAUUU
This is a non-coding RNA of Triticum urartu, 106 nucleotides long. The record is from Rfam. NCBI's taxonomy places the organism in Eukaryota, Viridiplantae, Streptophyta, Magnoliopsida, Poales, Poaceae.